UACGAAGGGGGCUAGCGUUGCUCGGAAUCACUGGGCGUAAAGGGCGCGUAGGCGGCCGAUCAAGUCAGGCGUGAAAUUCCCGGGCUCAACCUGGGGGCUGCGCUUGAUACUGAUUGGCUUGAAUGCGGGAGAGGAUAGUGGAAUUCCCAGUGUAGAGGUGAAAUUCGUAGAUAUUGGGAAGAACACCGGUGGCGAAGGCGGCUAUCUGGCCCGUAAUUGACGCUGAGGCGCGAAAGCGUGGGGAGCAAACAGG
RNAcentral lists this ribosomal RNA (253 nucleotides) under uncultured bacterium. RNAcentral's name for it is "partial 16S ribosomal RNA". It matches the Rfam family "Bacterial small subunit ribosomal RNA", at positions 524 to 776 of the family's 1533-position model. The record is from RNAcentral.